RNAcentral lists this ribosomal RNA (467 nucleotides) under uncultured Anaerolineaceae bacterium. RNAcentral describes it as "bacterial SSU rRNA". It matches the Rfam family "Bacterial small subunit ribosomal RNA", at positions 902 to 1382 of the family's 1533-position model. The record is from RNAcentral. Lineage: Bacteria; Bacillati; Chloroflexota; Anaerolineae; Anaerolineales; Anaerolineaceae.
CAAAGGAAUUGACGGGGCCCUGCACAAGCAGCGGAGCGUGUGGUUUAAUUCGAUGUUACACGAAGAACCUUACAGGGUUUGACAUGCAAGUGGUAGGAAGCCGAAAGGUGACCGACCCUUCGGGGAGCUUGCACAGGUGCUGCAUGGCUGUCGUCAGCUCGUGUCGUGAGGUGUUAGGUUAAGUCCUGUAACGAGCGCAACCCCUGCCGUUAGUUACAUGUGUCUAACGGGACUGCCCGGCUCAACUGGGAGGAAGGUGGGGACGACGUCAAGUCAGCAUGGCCUUUAUAUCCUGGGCUACACACACGCUACAAUGGUCGGUACAAUGGGUCGCCAAGCCGCGAGGCGGAGCCAAUCCUCCAAAACCGGCCUCAGUUCAGAUUGUAGGCUGCAACUCGCCUGCAUGAAGUUGGAGUUGCUAGUAACCGCGCGUCAGCUAUAGUGCGGUGAAUACGUUCCCGGGGCUU